Molecule: RNA transcript, 1629 nt
Organism: Artibeus jamaicensis (Jamaican fruit-eating bat)
Lineage: Eukaryota; Metazoa; Chordata; Mammalia; Chiroptera; Phyllostomidae
Exons: 6
Source: RefSeq, a predicted model, not a curated record
UAGUAACACACGUGUCCUGCCCCGCCACGGAAGUGGAAAUGGCAGGUGGAAAAUGCCCAACUGCGGAGUCCAGCACGUAGAGCAGAGGUGUCCGCAGGAAACGAGCACAGCUCGGCGGAGCCUCUGGCCCUGGAGCCAGCAACCCCCACCCCAGGUGGACCAAGCCAGCUAUUCUGAUUACCGCCAAGGCCUGCCGCGGGAGCUCACAACCCUGCAAACAGAGGUCCUACCUGAGCUCUGCCCCCAGCUACAAGGCUGUGGGGGAAGGCGAGAGGAGGCGUGGCCUUCCAGCUCGCUGAACGAACUCCCUCGUGCGGUUGUUUUGACUUUUUCUCUGGGGAUCCGCGCCCCGAACAAGUUCAAGUUGCACUUCCGGGGUCCGCAAAAGACUGAAACGUCAUCGCGCACGCGACAGCGCCAAUCCGGAAAUAGGCGGGGCGUGGUCGUUGGCAAAGUUCCUGCAGUGCUUGGUGGGCUGGGACAGAGGCCUGCAGGAGGUUCAGACUAUACCAAAAGUACAUUCAGAGGCUGCUCCUUUGGAAAGAUGGAUAUUAAGGGUGGAAGGAAGGAAAGGAGAAAGCCCAGAGCAGAGGCUUCUGUGGAAACGCCAAAGCAGAUACCAAGGACGAAAGAGGAAAGUGUUGGUUCCCAAAUAGACUUAUAACUACGAAAUACGAAUGUUUUCUAAUGGGAGGCAUUUAAAAUGCCUUAGUUGAAGAUUGAUUCAAAUAAAAGACCUCUUUUGGAUUCAUUUCAACAUCUAUCAGGUGAACGUGCCAGUUGCUUCAGGGGGAAAAAAAAAGAGAGCUAUCGUGAAAAGAACAUUUAAUGAUAUAACAAGAAAUAAAGAAUAACUAAAGAAGAAAAUGACCUGGACCGCCAACUAAUGGCACCUACGUAAAAUUGCAGGAAUUGACUUAAGGAAAAAUGAAUGAAAUGCCUAUCUGAAGUAUACUUUUAACUUUCGGUUCAUAUUGCUGGCAAUCAAUACCUUGGAAGGAGACUUGGAGCGGCCGCACAAAAGUAGUCCUGCUUCAGCUGAGCCAACCUGUGGAACAGGUUUGAAGCCAGAGGAAGUUUUAAGUUUGUAAAAGAUCUGCCCAGGUGUCAAUACAUAUGUGAAAUGUGCUCAGAAUUGUAUGUGAAUAAAGAGGUUGCAUACAUUUUAAGGCAGUCUUGCACUGAGGAAUACAUUGAGAUAUUUGCCCUUCUUAAAGUCACGCAUAUGUCACAGCAACAUUCCUGGUACAAAAUAAUUCAUUACUGUUUCUGUGCUCUAACUAGCCCCAUGCAAAGGUACAUCAUUGAAUCAAAACAUAUGGGGGUGACAAUUCUAUUACGCUGAGCUUUGCUGCAAUAUCAAUUUGCUGCUGUCUUACCUUUUCCUGCACAUUUGCCAAUGGAAAUUUCUGCUCUAGAAAUUAUACUGUAGCACAGAAAGAAGUAAAUACUGAGGUGGAUUCCAUUUCUCAAGACAUAUCAAUACGAACCAGUGCUAUUGUUUGUUUCUUGGGACAAUACAACAUUUGCACCUGUGCCUUAAGGAAGCAAUAACUCUUAAUUGCCCUUUAUAUUUACAAUUACUUAAUUACUUUAUUUUGCCAAAAAUAAAGGUCAUUAAAAUCAUCU